GGUUAAGCGACUAAGCGUACACGGUGGAUGCCCUGGCAGUCAGAGGCGAUGAAGGACGUGCUAAUCUGCGAUAAGCGUCGGUAAGGUGAUAUGAACCGUUAUAACCGGCGAUUUCCGAAUGGGGAAACCCAGUGUGUUUCGACACACUAUCAUUAACUGAAUCCAUAGGUUAAUGAGGCGAACCGGGGGAACUGAAACAUCUAAGUACCCCGAGGAAAAGAAAUCAACCGAGAUUCCCCCAGUAGCGGCGAGCGAACGGGGAGGAGCCCAGAGUCUGAAUCAGUGUGUGUGUUAGUGGAAGCGUCUGGAAAGGCGCGCGAUACAGGGUGACAGCCCCGUACACAAAAAUGCACAUAUUGUGAGCUCGAUGAGUAGGGCGGGACACGUGGUAUCCUGUCUGAAUAUGGGGGGACCAUCCUCCAAGGCUAAAUACUCCUGACUGACCGAUAGUGAACCAGUACCGUGAGGGAAAGGCGAAAAGAACCCCGGCGAGGGGAGUGAAAAAGAACCUGAAACCGUGUACGUACAAGCAGUGGGAGCCUCUUUUAUGGGGUGACUGCGUACCUUUUGUAUAAUGGGUCAGCGACUUAUAUUCUGUAGCAAGGUUAACCGAAUAGGGGAGCCGAAGGGAAACCGAGUCUUAACUGGGCGUUAAGUUGCAGGGUAUAGACCCGAAACCCGGUGAUCUAGCCAUGGGCAGGUUGAAGGUUGGGUAACACUAACUGGAGGACCGAACCGACUAAUGUUGAAAAAUUAGCGGAUGACUUGUGGCUGGGGGUGAAAGGCCAAUCAAACCGGGAGAUAGCUGGUUCUCCCCGAAAGCUAUUUAGGUAGCGCCUCGUGAAUUCAUCUCCGGGGGUAGAGCACUGUUUCGGCAAGGGGGUCAUCCCGACUUACCAACCCGAUGCAAACUGCGAAUACCGGAGAAUGUUAUCACGGGAGACACACGGCGGGUGCUAACGUCCGUCGUGAAGAGGGAAACAACCCAGACCGCCAGCUAAGGUCCCAAAGUCAUGGUUAAGUGGGAAACGAUGUGGGAAGGCCCAGACAGCCAGGAUGUUGGCUUAGAAGCAGCCAUCAUUUAAAGAAAGCGUAAUAGCUCACUGGUCGAGUCGGCCUGCGCGGAAGAUGUAACGGGGCUAAACCAUGCACCGAAGCUGCGGCAGCGACGCUUAUGCGUUGUUGGGUAGGGGAGCGUUCUGUAAGCCUGUGAAGGUGUGCUGUGAGGCAUGCUGGAGGUAUCAGAAGUGCGAAUGCUGACAUAAGUAACGAUAAAGCGGGUGAAAAGCCCGCUCGCCGGAAGACCAAGGGUUCCUGUCCAACGUUAAUCGGGGCAGGGUGAGUCGACCCCUAAGGCGAGGCCGAAAGGCGUAGUCGAUGGGAAACAGGUUAAUAUUCCUGUACUUGGUGUUACUGCGAAGGGGGGACGGAGAAGGCUAUGUUGGCCGGGCGACGGUUGUCCCGGUUUAAGCGUGUAGGCUGGUUUUCCAGGCAAAUCCGGAAAAUCAAGGCUGAGGCGUGAUGACGAGGCACUACGGUGCUGAAGCAACAAAUGCCCUGCUUCCAGGAAAAGCCUCUAAGCAUCAGGUAACAUCAAAUCGUACCCCAAACCGACACAGGUGGUCAGGUAGAGAAUACCAAGGCGCUUGAGAGAACUCGGGUGAAGGAACUAGGCAAAAUGGUGCCGUAACUUCGGGAGAAGGCACGCUGAUAUGUAGGUGAAGUCCCUUGCGGAUGGAGCUGAAAUCAGUCGAAGAUACCAGCUGGCUGCAACUGUUUAUUAAAAACACAGCACUGUGCAAACACGAAAGUGGACGUAUACGGUGUGACGCCUGCCCGGUGCCGGAAGGUUAAUUGAUGGGGUCAGCGCAAGCGAAGCUCUUGAUCGAAGCCCCGGUAAACGGCGGCCGUAACUAUAACGGUCCUAAGGUAGCGAAAUUCCUUGUCGGGUAAGUUCCGACCUGCACGAAUGGCGUAAUGAUGGCCAGGCUGUCUCCACCCGAGACUCAGUGAAAUUGAACUCGCUGUGAAGAUGCAGUGUACCCGCGGCAAGACGGAAAGACCCCGUGAACCUUUACUAUAGCUUGACACUGAACAUUGAGCCUUGAUGUGUAGGAUAGGUGGGAGGCUUUGAAGUGUGGACGCCAGUCUGCAUGGAGCCGACCUUGAAAUACCACCCUUUAAUGUUUGAUGUUCUAACGUUGGCCCCUAAUCGGGGUUGCGGACAGUGUCUGGUGGGUAGUUUGACUGGGGCGGUCUCCUCCUAAAGAGUAACGGAGGAGCACGAAGGUUGGCUAAUCCUGGUCGGACAUCAGGAGGUUAGUGCAAUGGCAUAAGCCAGCUUGACUGCGAGCGUGACGGCGCGAGCAGGUGCGAAAGCAGGUCAUAGUGAUCCGGUGGUUCUGAAUGGAAGGGCCAUCGCUCAACGGAUAAAAGGUACUCCGGGGAUAACAGGCUGAUACCGCCCAAGAGUUCAUAUCGACGGCGGUGUUUGGCACCUCGAUGUCGGCUCAUCACAUCCUGGGGCUGAAGUAGGUCCCAAGGGUAUGGCUGUUCGCCAUUUAAAGUGGUACGCGAGCUGGGUUUAGAACGUCGUGAGACAGUUCGGUCCCUAUCUGCCGUGGGCGCUGGAGAACUGAGGGGGGCUGCUCCUAGUACGAGAGGACCGGAGUGGACGCAUCACUGGUGUUCGGGUUGUCAUGCCAAUGGCACUGCCCGGUAGCUAAAUGCGGAAGAGAUAAGUGCUGAAAGCAUCUAAGCACGAAACUUGCCCCGAGAUGAGUUCUCCCUGACUCCUUGAGAGUCCUGAAGGAACGUUGAAGACGACGACGUUGAUAGGCCGGGUGUGUAAGCGCAGCGAUGCGUUGAGCUAACCGGUACUAAUGAACCGUGAGGCUUAACCUU
This 2904-nucleotide ribosomal RNA is filed under the name Escherichia coli. RNAcentral's name for it is "23S ribosomal RNA". It matches the Rfam family "Bacterial large subunit ribosomal RNA". The record is from RNAcentral. Lineage: Bacteria; Pseudomonadati; Pseudomonadota; Gammaproteobacteria; Enterobacterales; Enterobacteriaceae.